Molecule: long non-coding RNA, 3719 nt
Organism: Chelonia mydas (Green sea turtle)
Lineage: Eukaryota; Metazoa; Chordata; Testudines; Cheloniidae
Exons: 4
Source: RefSeq, a predicted model, not a curated record
GGUGGUACUCUGAAACAAGCAGACCUAGAUCAAUAUAGUGGCUUCUUUGCUGAGGAACAGCUUAAGAGUAUUGCCAGCCCCAGUCCUCUGAGAAAAGAAGAUGGGCUGGUUUGUUUGUGAUCCCUAGGGCUAGCUCUUAAUGUUUAGCCAAAGAGGGGAGUGGGAGCCAAGAAUUUCUGCAGAACCUGAAGGACUGCUUCUUCUCCUUUGUGUGAGGGAGGGCUCCUAGCCCCUUGGAACUAUUUUACUUUUGGUUUAGACUGUUUUAUUACAUCUUAUACCCCCUCCUGCCCUGAAGAGGGGAGACUUGUUAAGAGGUACAGCUUGAUACACCAUACCCCAAGACUGCCUUGCCCAGGAAAUGAUGUACAAGGUGGGAAGACAGCGGAGUGGGGCACACCCAGAGGUCUGUGCCCAGAAGAGGACGCCGUGGUCUCAGGAGUGAUGUGGGUCACAGAGUGGUGGAGACAGCAAAGCGGGAGUAACAGUGAACAAGACAUCAAUGGAGGAGGGCACCAUGUGGCAGGACUUGAGCCAAUUCCAGAAUGGCCAGCAGGAGGCGCCACUGUGGGAAAUGUUUUUAUUCAAGCUUUCAGCGAUACAAAAUGCAUAUGAUAAUCAACAAUGCAUGGGAAGUAAGGAGCAAAGAUCACGUUGAACCUGCAAGCUAAAACCCCCAAACCUUGCCCACAGGGCAGACCUUUCCUCUGGACCAUUCCAGUGAUGUGGAGGCUGAUCACCAAGAAUCUUGCUUUGCAACCAGUAUGCUGCAUCUGACCUUCCUGUGCCCCGCAGAACAAACACCAUGUGUAUGCUUUCAGCAGGAUAGAGCUGAAACAUGGUCACUGAUACUCUUUUUGAAAACUGCAGAAUAAAAUGUGUGCAAUAUGUUAGAUAUCUGAGCACAAGGAGAAAAGCAUGUGCAAAUACACAUCCUGUUUGUCAUUAUCUUUAGAACCCACAACAGGAUUAUUAGUUCACUAUGUAUAAGAUCCUGGCAAAGUGUAUUGUCCCAACAUUUUAAAAAAGGUACUGUAGCUUUUGAGAUGAUAUGUGGGUCUCUGUGGACUUUACAGCAGUUCUAUUGAGCACUAACUAUUUAAAAGGUGUAUAGGGCAUAGGUUCAUUUUCAAGUUAGUAUAAUAUUUCAAACUGUAUUGAUUGCAUCUCCAUUUACAGUGGGCCAAAUACUGAUCUCAUUUAUACCAGUGUGGACCCAAAAUAACACUGACUUUACUCCGUUGACUAGUGUACAUGACCAGUAGUGGAAUCUGGCAUAUCCUCACCACACAGGAAGUUGUCUGGUUUUUGUUUGGAGUCUAUGCGUGGAUGAGGAGGAAAUGGAAUGUUCUGUGCAUAGUUAUGUCUUACAUCUCACUAUACCGAAAUAAGCCACCCAAAAACCUGAACAACCAAGGUGUUUUCAUCCACAUUAAGGCAAUAUUAUGGGGUCUGGUCUCAGGGAGGUGGAUUACCUAUGCCAACAGGAGAACUCCUCCCAUCAGCAUAGAUAGUGUCUACACUGAAGUGUGCAGCAGGGUGGCCGCUCUGGUGUAGCGCUUUAGAGAUACUGAAUCCUAAACAGGGCUUAAAAAAGAGGACGUCAUUGUGAAGGUAUCUGUUACCUUCAUUUUGUUUCUCUUCUGUGUACCCUUAUUGUAUUCUCGUGCCCCUACUGUCACCUGUGGGAGCAGAGACCACCACCAUUUUACUUUUGACCAGUACCCAGGCUCUCACUGAUGUUAGCGGCUACUGACAAUAAGACAAUGGUAAUGUUCUUCUGGAAAGAAAAAAGAACACUCUAUAAUUUUGUUGUUUAUUCUGAUCUACAGGUAAAUGCAAAACGUAAUUUUUUUCUACAAAACUAACUUGAUCUGAAGGGACAGUCUGAAAAAACAAAAGCGUGAGACAACUUUUUUUUGUUGUUGUUUUUUUUUUUUUUUGGCCCAUAAUCUUUGAUAGAAACUUUUUACCACUUUUUCCCGGCACUAUGACCACACUAACUGCAGUCCUUGUGGAUUAAUUACUGGAAUGAUGGAAAGCAUAUGUGCAUAAAUGCAGUGUUAGAGCAAACAGUAAAUGUUUUUUGGAGCUAAGCUUUACUGUUUUGUACCUUUUUCUUGAACAGGUGCCAUCAGAAAGUUUUUGACGUCUUUCUUAUCUCCAUGCAUUAUAUAGGAGAUGUAAAUACCAUUCUCCUUUACAGGAUGGCAGAAUAAAUUAUCCCUCUCUAAAACCAGCACAAGAAACUUAUUUAUGUGUAGACCCUUGUGUGCUCCAGAUUUUUUUAUUGCAUUUCCAAAUGAGACUGGAACAUGAAACAUGGUGAACAUGAAAAUGUCUGGGUUUUAGAGAGAGAUCCUGGUGCAGGAGGUUACUUUCUCUGGAGUGGAACCAUUUGGACAGAAUAAGAAAACAUAUUAUUAAACUGUCUGUGCUAUUAGGUGGUUGUUCUAUGAGAAAAACAUAACUCUGGUACAUAAGGAAGCGAUACAAGAAAAAAACUUAUAUCAGAAAAGCCAUUCUUAUAAUUCAAAAUGAAAAUUGAAAAUGACCAGAAAAUAAGCUCUCAUGAGUUCUGUGAGUUAUUUGUUUGGUAUAACUGGUAAGUGGUGCACAUUGUACUGUCUAGAUGUGUGUUAGACUGUGCUAAAUGACAUACAGAAAUGCAACUAAAACAGCAAUGCAAAGGCUGUAUUCCUCUCUUACAAGAUAUGAUGCGGGGGAGGAUUAGGAGGGAAGAGUAUAGGGCAGACGUAUGGAAGUGUUCCCUUACAGGACAUAACCCUAGAUUGUAUGCAUAUGCCUGGAGGGUAUAAAAAAUCAAAAUCACAUUGAAUGACAUGCUACAGUCAUAAGAAAUCCUGACAUCAUUCCUCUGGGAUAUCAUUAAAUUGACUCAGGAAAAGAUCAAAAUGGUCUAUAUAGUCAUUUCAAGGGUCUUGCUGAUAUCUAACCAACCUCCCCCCCCCCCCAAAGUCACCACCACCCCAAAUUAGGGGGAAGCUGUCAGAAAAUGACCUUCUGCAUCUUGACAGUUAAUCCAUAUUAAAGUUUUUAUCUUCAUGAAACCUGAACUUUUAGUUACAUUAUUUAUUUUUCUGAUAAAUGAUUACUAUGGUGUACACAGAUUGAGGAGUGUAAACAUCUUCGGCCUCAUGCAACCCCACUGACUUCAAUAGCGUUGGAUAGGUGGAUCAGAGGGAAGAAUUGAACUCAUUGGAAUUAUUCUGGUGUAAAACUGGUGUAAGCAAGAGGAAAAUUAUGCCCACAGCAUAUGUCUUGUUUGGUAUAUUUGAAAGUGUAAUAUGGGCAGAAGAGAAAGGGGAAUACUUUUUUCGGUAUUCAUGCUGACAUUAUAUUGUCUGACCUCUAGUGGCAGCAUCAGAAGGUAAAUUAUUGAAUGAUUCCAUUGGAUCUGAUGUUAGUUUGACUAGUUAUCUUUGACCUGGAAGUAUAUAGAAGUGUCUAAUGUUUAUCAUAUUGAAAAAAGGAAGUUAAUUAACUAAUUAAAAUGGUUUGAUUUUUAAUCUCAUGAGAAUGGUUUUAGUUUAUGGCCUUAUAGAUCUAAAGAUAAGAGCACUAGUGGCCCAGUUCUGUUUUCAUUUUCCCCAGUGAAAACAGAGUAAUCCUUCUCAUUACGAUGAAAUACCCUGAUUCACACUGACAGAACUGAGGACCAAAUUCUGUCUUAUCUGUACUUCUGUUUCUACCUCACU